This 465-nucleotide ribosomal RNA is filed under the name uncultured bacterium. RNAcentral describes it as "partial 16S ribosomal RNA". It matches the Rfam family "Bacterial small subunit ribosomal RNA", at positions 338 to 795 of the family's 1533-position model. The record is from RNAcentral.
CCUACGGGAGGCAGCAGUAGGGAAUCUUCCACAAUGGGCGAAAGCCUGAUGGAGCAACGCCGCGUGGGUGAAGAAGGUCUUCGGAUCGUAAAACCCUGUUGUUAGAGAAGAAAAAGCGUUAGAGUAACUGUUCACGCUUCGACGGUAUCUAACCAGAAAGCCACGGCUAACUACGUGCCAGCAGCCGCGGUAAUACGUAGGUGGCAAGCGUUGUCCGGUUUUAUUGGGCGUAAAGGGAGCGCGGGCGGUCGUUUAAGUCUGAUGUGAAAGCCGUCGGCUCAACCGGGGGGGGGAAUUGGAAACUGGGAGACUUGAGUGCAGAAGAGGAGAGUGGAAUUCCAGGUGUAGCGGUGAAAUGCGUAGAUAUAUGGAAGAACACCAGUGGCGAAGGCGGCUCUCUGGUCUGUAACUGACGCUGAGGCUCGAAAGCGUGGGUAGCAAACAGGAUUAGAUACCCCUGUAGUC